GACGAACGCUGGCGGCGUGCCUAAUACAUGCAAGUAGAACGCUGAAGAGAGGAGCUUGCUCUUCUUGGAUGAGUUGCGAACGGGUGAGUAACGCGUAGGUAACCUGCCUUGUAGCGGGGGAUAACUAUUGGAAACGAUAGCUAAUACCGCAUAACAAUGGAUGACACAUGUCAUUUAUUUGAAAGGGGCAAUUGCUCCACUACAAGAUGGACCUGCGUUGUAUUAGCUAGUAGGUGAGGUAAUGGCUCACCUAGGCGACGAUACAUAGCCGACCUGAGAGGGUGAUCGGCCACACUGGGACUGAGACACGGCCCAGACUACUACGGGAGGCAGCAGUAGGGAAUCUUCGGCAAUGGGGGCAACCCUGACCGAGCAACGCCGCGGGAGUGAAGAAGGGUGUCGGAUCGUAAAGCUCUGUUGUAAGUCAAGAACGGGUGUGAGAGUGGAAAGUUCACACUGUGACGGUAGCUUACCAGAAAGGGACGACUAACUACGUG
RNAcentral lists this ribosomal RNA (497 nucleotides) under uncultured bacterium. RNAcentral's name for it is "partial 16S ribosomal RNA". It matches the Rfam family "Bacterial small subunit ribosomal RNA", at positions 28 to 507 of the family's 1533-position model. The record is from RNAcentral.